GUUGUAGGUGGGGUAACGGCCCACCUAGCCGAUAAUCAGUAGGGGCGAUGGGAGUCGGAGCCCCGAGAAGGACACUGAGACAAGGGUCCUAGUCCUACGGGAUGCAGCAGGCGCGAAAAUUUUACAAUGCGCGAAAGCGUGAUAGAGGAAAUCUGAGUGGUAAUGGACAAAGUCCAUUAUCUUUUUGUAACCCCAAAUAGGUUGCAGAAUAAGUGCUGGGUAAGACCAGUGCCAGCCGCCGCGGUAAUACUGGCAGCACGAGUGGUGCCCACGUAUAUUGGGUCUAAAGAGUCCGUAGCUGGUUUGUUAAGUUCACUGUGAAAACUUGGAGCCUAACUUCAAGAAGUGCAGUGAAUACUGGCAGGCUUGAGAGUGGGGGAGGUAAGGAGUACUUACGGGGUAGGAGUAAAAUCCUGUAAUCCUGUGAGGACUACCAGUGGCGUAGGCGCCUUACCAAAACACGUCUGACAGUGAGGGACGAAGGCUAGGAGAACGAAUCGGAUUAGAUACCCGAGUAGCCCUAGCAGUAAAUUAUGCAGACUGUGGUGUUGCCGUGGCCUCGAGCCCCGGCAGUGCCGUAGCGUAGGUGUUAAGUCUGCCACCUGGGGAGUACGGCCGCAAGGCUGAAACUUAAAAGAAUUGGCGGGGGAGCACCACAAGGGGUGGAAGCUGCGGUUCAAUUGGAUACAACGCCGGGAACAUUACCCUGAGCGACGGCAGAAUGAAGGUCAGACUAAAGAUCUUACCUAACGAGCCGAGAAGUGCUGCAUGGCCAUCGUCAGCUCGUGGCAUGAGCUGUCCCGUUAAGUCGGGUAACGAGCGAGACCCUUACUCACUGUUGCAAUUUUCAUCUCAGGAUGAGAAGCACCCUGUGAGGACUGCCCGUGUUAAAUGGGAGGAAGGUGAGGGCGACGGUAGGUCAGUAUGGCCUAAAUCUCAGGGGCUACACGCGGCUUACAAUGACAGUCACAAUGGGCGGCGACUCCGAAAGGAGAAGCUAAUCCCCGAAAGGCUGCCUCAGUUCGGAUCGAGGGUUGCAACCCACCCUCGUGAAGCUGGAAUCCCUAGUAAUCGCUUGUCACCAACGAGCGGUGAAUACGUCCCCGCUCCUUGCACACACCGCCCGUCAAAUCACCCAAGCUGGUUUUCAGCGAGGCGACGAUCUUUGUCGUUGUCGAACUGGUUGUCGGUGAGGGGGGUUAAGUCGUAACAAGGUA
This 1217-nucleotide ribosomal RNA is filed under the name metagenome. Its description in RNAcentral is "bacterial SSU rRNA". It matches the Rfam family "Archaeal small subunit ribosomal RNA", at positions 229 to 1445 of the family's 1478-position model. The record is from RNAcentral.